Molecule: long non-coding RNA, 565 nt
Filed under: Ananas comosus (pineapple)
Lineage: Eukaryota; Viridiplantae; Streptophyta; Magnoliopsida; Poales; Bromeliaceae
Description: long non-coding RNA (ACOM_LNC039385)
Source: RNAcentral
GUGCUCCUGAGCCGUUUUUUGAUGAUGGAGUUUUCGAAUCGACGAUCGGCUCCGUUAGACUUGAUCUAGCGCAUUUGAAGUUUCUAGAAAAUAAUUUUUGUGAUUUUUCGAUAUCAUUUACCUAGUGAUCGAAAGGAUUCAAAAUUCAUAAUUUUUAAUGGUUGAUAUCUGCCGUUUUCAAGUUUAACGGUGUAGAAAUAUUCAAAUCAGAUGAAAUUUUGAUAGAAAAUUCUUUAUACUAUCUACAACAAGAUCUAUAUUUCUGAUCGAAAAUUUUAGUGCUAUAUCACCACUUUUUAUAGGAUUUUUAUUUUCAGCCAUUAAAAAUUAUUGAUUUUGAAUCCUUUCGAUUGCUAGGUAAAUGAUAUCGAAAAAUCGCAAAAAUUAUUUUCUAGAAACUUUAAAUACGGUAGAUCAAGUUUAACGGAGCCGAUCGUCGAUUCGAAAACUCCAUCAUCAAAAACGGCUCAAGAGCACGGAGACCUCCGUGCUCCUGAGAGCACAGCAGCUCUGCUGUAUAUAUAUGUAUAUAUAUAUACAUAUACACAUAUAUACAUAUACAGAU